RNAcentral lists this ribosomal RNA (497 nucleotides) under uncultured bacterium. RNAcentral's name for it is "partial 16S ribosomal RNA". It matches the Rfam family "Bacterial small subunit ribosomal RNA", at positions 28 to 507 of the family's 1533-position model. The record is from RNAcentral.
GAUGAACGCUGGCGGCGUGCCUAAUACAUGCAAGUCGAGCGAACAGACGAGGAUCUUGCUCCUCUGACGUUAGCGGCGGACGGGUGAGUAACACGUGGAUAACCUACCUAUAAGACUGGGAUAACUUCGGGAAACCGGAUCUAAUACCGGAUAAUAUAUUGAACCGCAUGGUUCAAUAGUGAAAGACGGUUUUGCUGUCACUUAUAGAUGGAUCCGCGCCGCAUUAGCUAGUUGGUAAGGUAACGGCUUACCAAGGCAACGAUGCGUAGCCGACCUGAGAGGGUGAUCGGCCACACUGGAACUGAGACACGGUCCAGACUCCUACGGGAGGCAGCAGUAGGGAAUCUUACGCAAUGGGCGAAAGCCUGACGGAGCAACGCCGCGUGAGUGAUGAAGGUCUUCGGAUCGUAAAACUCUGUUAUUAGGGAAGAACAAAUGUGUAAGUAACUAUGCACGUCUUGACGGUACCUAAUCAGAAAGCCACGGCUAACUACGUG